Molecule: transfer RNA, 67 nt
Filed under: Coleoptera sp. ACP-2013
Lineage: Eukaryota; Metazoa; Arthropoda; Insecta; Coleoptera
Description: tRNA-Leu
Source: RNAcentral
UUAUUUUGACAGAUUAAAGUGUGAAAGAUUUAGAAUCUUUUUAUGUAAUAUUAAUUACAAAUAAUAC